RNAcentral lists this ribosomal RNA (354 nucleotides) under uncultured bacterium. RNAcentral describes it as "bacterial SSU rRNA". It matches the Rfam family "Bacterial small subunit ribosomal RNA", at positions 447 to 793 of the family's 1533-position model. The record is from RNAcentral.
AAGGUGGGUAUGUAAUAGCAUACUCAUUUGACGUUAGCUGCAGAAGAAGCACCGGCUAACUCCGUGCCAGCAGCCGCGGUAAUACGGAGGGUGCGAGCGUUAAUCGGAAUUACUGGGCGGUAAAGACGCAUGCAGGUGGUUUGUUAAGUCAGAUGUGAAAGACCCGGGCGUCAACCUCGGAAUUGCAUUUGAAACUGGCAAACUAGAGUACUGUAGAGGGGGUAGAAUUUCAGGUGUAGCGGUGAAAUGCGUAGAGAUCUGAAGGAAUACCGGUGGCGAAGGCGGCCCCCUGGACAGAUACUGACACUCAGAUGCGAAAGCGUGGGGAGCAAACAGGAUUAGAUACCCUGGUAG